This is a long non-coding RNA of Betta splendens (Siamese fighting fish), 567 nucleotides long. RefSeq lists it as uncharacterized. Lineage: Eukaryota; Metazoa; Chordata; Actinopteri; Anabantiformes; Osphronemidae. The transcript is spliced from 4 exons. The record is from RefSeq and is a predicted model, not a curated record.
UUUUAGUUUGUUUUGCUUUAAAUCAUCCUGCUGUAUCUGUGCUUAAGGUUGAGUUAUUAGCACAGUGUUAUGACUGGCUAAUAAAGCUGCUUAACCACCAGGGGAAUGGCUCCAUAUCAAAAAGGACUUCAAACUGCCUAGACAAAGGUGGAAAUAUAUUUAUGGCCACUACAGGGCCUCCUCCUCCACAAUAGGAGGUUCCUCCUCUAGCACCUCUGGAUCCUCCUCAAGCACCUGAAAAUGAAUUGUUGAAAAGUAGCUCUGUUUUCACAGAUGUCUUAAUUUAGAAAAAGUGGACUAUACAAACCUCCAGAUUCUCCACAUGUUCGGGUUCUGCCUCAGGCUCGGGUUCAGAUGCAACCUCCUUGGCCUCUGCUGCUACCUCAUGCUCAGGAAGGCUUUUACACUCACACACCUGGUGCAGACGUGUCCUGUGCUGCAGCAGCUUCAAUCACAUCCUCCACAGGAAUGGGGUCUGGCUCUAUAAUAGCUAGGAGGGAAAGACAUGCUUAUAUACAAGGAUAAAGAGAAGAUAUGCAUUAAAAAGUACUGUCCCAUAUUAUAAAA